GGCGAGUGAAAUGGGAACAGCCCAGCCUUAGAAUCGAAUGGUUUUGCCGUUUGAAUUGUAGUCUGGAGAAGCGUCCUUAGCGGCGGACUGGGCCCAAGUCCCCUGGAAAGGGGCGCCGGAGAGGGUGAGAGCCCCGUCGGGCCUAGACCCUGUCGCACCACGAGGUGCUGUCUUAGAGUCGGGUUGUUUGGGAAUGCAGCCCAAAUUUGGUGGUGAAUUCCGUCCAAGGCUAAAUACAGGUGAGAGCCCGAUAGCGAACAAGUACCGCGAGGGAAAGAUGAAAAGAACUUUGAAAAAAGAGCCAAAGAGUGCUUGAAAUUGUCGAGAGGGAAGCGGAUGGAGACCGGCGAUAGGCCCAGGUUGGAUGUGGAACGGUGGUUAGCCGGUCUGCUGAUAGGCUCUGGGUGUGGAUCAGCGAGAAUUCAGGUGGCGGUUGAAGCUUGGGCAUUUGAUAUGCUAGGGGAAUGCCGUCUCUUGUAUUGUGGGAAGUAGUGCGCGCCCCGCGUGUGCUUCGGCACCUGCGUACUCAGGUCGUUGACUUGUGGGCUCUCCAUUCGACCCGUCUUGAAACACGGACCAAGGAGUCUGACAUGUGUGCGAGUUGGCGAGUGGAAAAACUCGCAAGGCGUAAGGAAGCUGAUUGGCGGGAUCCCUCUUCGGGGUGCACCGUCGACCGACCUCGAUCUUUUGAGAAGGGUUUGAGUGUGAGCAUACCUGUUGGGACCCGAAAGAUGGUGAACUAUGCCUGAGCGGGGUGAAGC
This 761-nucleotide ribosomal RNA is filed under the name Microvirga sp. HBU67558. Its description in RNAcentral is "partial 23S ribosomal RNA". It matches the Rfam family "Eukaryotic large subunit ribosomal RNA", at positions 88 to 852 of the family's 3401-position model. Lineage: Bacteria; Pseudomonadati; Pseudomonadota; Alphaproteobacteria; Hyphomicrobiales; Methylobacteriaceae. The record is from RNAcentral.